This 253-nucleotide ribosomal RNA is filed under the name uncultured bacterium. RNAcentral describes it as "partial 16S ribosomal RNA". It matches the Rfam family "Bacterial small subunit ribosomal RNA", at positions 524 to 776 of the family's 1533-position model. The record is from RNAcentral.
UACAGAGGUCUCAAGCGUUGUUCGGAUUCAUUGGGCGUAAAGGGUGCGUAGGCGGCGCGGUAAGUCGGGUGUGAAAUUUCGAGGCUUAACUUCGAAACUGCAUUCGAUACUGCCGUGCUCGAGGACUGGAGAGGAGACUGGAAUUUACGGUGUAGCGGUGAAAUGCGUAGAUAUCGUAAGGAAGACCAGUGGCGAAGGCGGGUCUCUGGACAGUUCCUGACGCUGAGGCACGAAGGUCAGGGGAGCAAACGGG